CUUACUUUACCUGCUCAUCUUCGUGGAAUUAAGAUAAUUGGUGCCUUAUUUUAUCGUGAAGGUGAACAUGCCUAGUUAAUUAAUUUAAGGUUUAAAUCUCUUUUGGUAUCUUAAGUAUUUAUUUGGUAUCGUUUUGGUCCCUUAACUAAAAAAAAGAUUGUUUGAGUAUUUUAAUUUAAUUUUCAUUAUAUUUUUUGGUCCCUUCCGUUAGGUUUAAUAAAAAACGUUAAGUGUGGUACACGUGUCGUUUUGGCAUUGGCUCUGGAAACAUUAAGGGACCAAAGUGAUACCAAAUAAAUACUUAAAGGACGAAAAGAGCAUUUAAGCUUUUUUUAUCAUCUUCUUCAUCUUCAUCAAAACCUUCAUCAUAUUCAUCAAUUAAAUCCAGAAAAAAACAUAAAAUAAUCGAAAAAAACUAAAAAAAUAAAUAUCAAAUCAGCAUAUCCUUCAAUCUUUCCUCUUCUGCGUUGAAUCUCAAACUUAAAACCUCAUGCUUUAAAUAAUCCUUUGUUGAAUCUCAAACUCAAAUCUUCUCCUCUUUACAACCAAGAAGAAAAACAGACUUUAUUCACAUAAAAAUUAUUCAAGCAUCUUCAUAAUUGUUUUUCAACGUGUUCAUAAUUAUAAUAAAUUUUUAUCAUUUCUUUAAAUCAUUCCUUCUCAAUUGAUUCACUUCAACCCAAAUCCAUAACCCCUCUUUUAUUCAACCCAAAUUCAUCUUGAUAAACAGGACAUUGAUUCAUUUUCGAGUUCAAUAACUCAUCGUCAACAGUCAUCGUCGCCAUUUCUGGGAGGAUCUAAUAUCCAUUGUCGUUGUACCGCGAGGAUCUACUAUCCACUGUCGUUUUUCUAGAUUCAAGGUUUUGGUGAGAGAGAAAAAUGGAAAUGGUUUUAGGAAACUAUGAAGAAUAAGAUUGAAGAAAUGGUGGAAUUUGAUUAUUGCGCUAAUCACCAUGCUCGUCCAAUUCUUCAUGAUUCGUUGUUCAUUCCUUCACACACAUCAAAUUAUUUAAUUUCCUUUCAACAAUUUAAUUUAGCAUCUUUUUUUGGGAAUUAAAGUUGCUGAUAUAUGAGAUUAGAGAUUGAAUGAUUUUGGGUUCUAAAUUGAAAAAGAUUUUUUUUCUAGGUUGGUGUGUUGUUGAUGAUGAAGAUCAUGAAGAAGAGGAUGAAAGGAGAAGGAAGAAGAGAAAUAGUAUAAACCCUAACGUUUUUUUGAUUUUUUUUAACAGAAGGGACCAAAACAGGUAACGGAGAUAAAUAUAAAGUACUCAAACAAUCUUUUUUUUAGUUAAGGGACCAAAGCAAUAUCAAAUAAAUACUUAAGGGACCAAGAGAGCAUUUAAGCCUUAAUUUAACAUGCUUGCAUCAUAUGCUGACCGAGAUGUACUGUUUGCUAUAUAGUGAGUAUAUUCUCUAAUAAACUCGAGAAUUUAUGUAUAUGAGUACUACAUGAACGAUAUUAUAACCUGCAAAAAUUAACACAAGAACAAUAUGCAAUGAACGAUGUUAUACAUUUAAUUUAACUGUGCUUGAGAUGGGCAUGCAAAUUAAUAUAUUUGUAUUAUGAAUUGGGUGUUUAAUGUUUGAGGCUCGUUGAAUCCUUUAUCUAUAUAUUUAUAAUAGGCGUUGUUCGUGUGGUACAAUUGACAGAUAAUUGAGUCUCUUAAGUAUACGGUCAUGAUGACAGAUAAUUGAGUCUUUUAAGUAUGUCGUCGUGAUUUUGAUUUCUAUCUCAUACGUGUGGAAUAACACGUAGGGGUUAAAGAAAAUAUUGAAAUUUGAUUUGUUAUCAACACAUAUAAAAAAUACUUCAUUUUGUUUUAUUCUUGUAGCCUUAAAACAUAUUAUCCUUUACAAAUUUGCUAUAGUAGAGACAGAACAAAAAGAUAAGUAUAUUAUAUAGUUAUGGGAAGAACAUGAUAGGCUAGUCCACUAACCAGCCUGACUUGUGUGGUUAUUCCGUUUUGCUCUUUUCAAAAUUGCCAAAUGCAGACUCCACAACCUCAAAAGAAAACCCAAUGUCUAUGAGGUAUAUUUGUCGGUUCCCACUUCUAAACCCAUUAUAAAAUUUGGUAAUAUUCAUAUAAAAACUUACCACAUUCUCCACUAUACAACUUGUUAUUAUAUAUAGUAACACAACCUUUCUUAUUCUGCAUGUAUUUCAUUCCAUCCAGUUCCAUUACCUUAUAACUCAAUUGCAACUUGUGUGUUCUAUAGUGUACUAGUGCUCCUAGUCACUUGAACAUAGAAAGUAGAAUCUCCUUUGGUUUUUCUUUCAACUUCCUCAAACUAAAGGUUACUAUUUGUGACUUUAUUCCUUUCAUCUAGUUGUUUUUACACUUGACACUCACUAAGCCAAUUAAUUUGUAUCUCAUAUUUUUCCUAAUUUUUAGUAGAAACUAUAUUUAAAAUGAAGCACUCUCCUAUUUUAACACUAUUAUUCUCUUUAUAUUUUCUUACUUCAUUUCUUUCUAUCCAAGCUAGACACCAUUUCCAUACAAAACACAAGCAUUACUCACAUUCUCAUAAUUCAUCAUCUGAAAUUUCACUUCCUCCUGCUCCACUACCUUCACCAACUAGUAGUGCUCCUGAAGAAGCUCCUAGUGCUAGUGCUAGUCCUAGCCCUAGCCCUGAAGUAGCAUCUGGCUUAUUGGAUGUAAGAAAAUUUGGUGCCAUUGGAGAUGGAAUAACUGAUGAUACUGAGUCAUUUAAAAUGGCAUGGGACACUGCUUGUCAAAGUGAAUUAGAUCUUAAUGUUAUAUUUGUUCCUCCUGGUUUCUCCUUCAUUGUUCAAUCUACUAUUUUCACUGGUCCUUGUAAAGGUGGUUUGGUAUUAAAGGUAAUGUACCUGCAAUUUUUAGUUACAUAAUUACUUAGGCAAAACUACACGAGUUGCUUUAAUUUAAUUUAAUUUAAUUAAAGUUUCAAUUCCUUUUUCUUUCUUUUUUUUCAUGUCAAAUAAGUCAUUUAUCUUUAAAAAAAAUAUUAACAUUGUUGAACUAACUUUCAUUCUUAGUGUACUUUUUGUUACAAAUUUGUGUACAAGAUCAUUGCAUGAUGGAGUAUAUUAUAAAGAAUGCUUUAUCACUUAGCACCACACCACACCACAAUUAGACCCUCUUCGUUGGCAACAAUGAUUUCACAAUCUCAGUUAAAAAGUUACAAACUAAGAAAGAUCAUGUCAAUUUUGUUGAAUUAAAUAUUUUAACAACCAUUAUAAUGUAACUUAGAUAUUCUCUUUGAAGAAUUGUAACAACCUUAAGUAGUUUUUUGGUAGCUUAUAUACAUAGAUGAAAAAUAAAGUUUGGUCCUACAUUGUGAACAUUUUUAAACAUAAAGUACUAACUUAACAUACAAAAAAAUACUAAUUUAACACAGAAAAUAUAAAAUGUAUGCUUGAAACUUUAAAUUAAGUCAAAGAAAACUGUACUUAAUUAAGGUUAAGGUUCAGUAACUGAUGACUUUGCUGGUGUACAUGGAGAAGGUUGAUGGAACUAUUAUGACACCUGAUGGACCUGAAUCAUGGCUAAAAAACAACAGUAGGCGUCAAUGGUUGGUCUUUUAUAGAGUCAAUGGCAUGUCACUUGAAGGAAGUGGUACAAUUGAUGGCAGAGGACAAAAAUGGUGGGACCUCCCUUGUAAGCCUCAUAAGGUAUUGAUAUAUAUAAGUAGAAAUUUUAAGUAAAAAAUUUAAAUUAAAUGUUGAUGCUUCAAACUUUAGUUGAUCUCUAACAAUAAUUUCCAUAGGGGCCUAAUGGAACAACAUUACCAGGACCUUGUGACAGCCCAGUUGUAAGUAUUAAAAACCUAUCUUGUGUAUUUUAUACAAUAUACAUCUUCUGUUUGUGUAAAUGCAUUAUGGUUAACAAAAAAUAUUUGUAUAUUGCAGGCUAUAAGGUUUUUUAUGAGUUCAAAUUUGACUGUACAAGGACUUAGGAUAAAAAACAGUCCUCAAUUCCAUUUCAGAUUUGAUGGCUGCCAAAGUGUGCAUGUGGAAUCAAUUUUCAUAACAGCUCCAGCACUUAGCCCCAACACUGAUGGAAUACACAUAGAAAAUACCAAUGAUGUGAAAAUAUAUAAUUCCGUAGUUUCCAAUGGUUAGUCACUAAAUAAUCAAUCCCCUAGCUCCUUUUACCUGUUGCAGCAUCCAAAGGAAUUAACAAAAAUACUUUUUCAUGAAUUUUCCUUUUAUAGGUGAUGACUGUGUUUCCAUUGGGUCUGGUUGCUAUGAUGUUGAUAUAAAAAAUAUCACAUGUGGACCAGGUCAUGGCAUUAGGUAAAUUAUUCUCUCCUUUUUUUUCUUCAUGAAAAGUUACAUUUAAUAGUAUGGAUAUGAGUUGAGUGCGGUCACAACCCCGUGGCCGCAUGCAGUCAAGCUCAAUAUUUUAGAUUUCAAAGAAUAUGCGUUGAAAUCUGGAAUAUUUGAUCUUGAUCAAACGAUCUAGAUGUGGUUGACUGCACUCACACCACGUAGAAUCCAAAUUUUCAAUUAAUAAGCUUUAUACUUUAUAUAUUGUUGUAAUGGUACAUGAUUUAAUGUUAUUUCAAACAAAACAAAAAAUCUAAUGUUAUUUUUAUUGUAUUUUAUUCAGCAUUGGUAGUUUGGGAAACCACAACUCAAGAGCAUGUGUAUCAAACAUAACAGUGAGGGACUCAGUUAUAAGGGUAUCAGAUAAUGGGGUAAGAAUCAAGACAUGGCAAGGUGGAUCAGGAUCAGUAUCAGGAGUAACAUUCAGUAAUAUUCACAUGGAUACAGUAAAAAAUCCUAUUAUAAUUGACCAAUUUUACUGCCUCAGUAAAGAUUGCAGCAACAAAACCUCUGCAGUAUUUGUAUCAGAUAUAGUUUACACAAGCAUAAAGGGAACUUAUGAUAUAAGACACCCUCCUAUGCAUUUUGCAUGCAGUGACUCAAUCCCUUGCACCAACUUGACUCUCUCAGAUAUUGAGCUUCUUCCUUCUCAAGGAGAUAUGUUGAAUGAUCCUUUUUGUUGGAAUGCUUAUGGAAAUUCAGAGACAUUAACCAUUCCUCCAGUAUUUUGCUUGUUGGAUGGUAUUCCUCAGUCUAUUCCAGCCAAUGAUAUUGAUCAUUGCUGACCCUUUAAAUUCUAUAAAGUAAAAAUGUGUGUGUAUAUAUAAUUUACUAGUGAAUUAAUUAAGGAAUAUAAAUAAAUAAUAUAUAUGGUCAUGAGACUCAUGACUCAUGAGUCUUUUGGUGUGAUUGCUGAGGAGUUGUGUUUUAGAUGCUCCUCCCCAAUUGAUAACUAUGUAUUGUAUAUUUUCAAUUUGAAAUGGAAGUUUGGUUUGGAUUUGUUGCUUGAAUUUGUGACUAAAUAAAUCUUGAUCCACUAUUGCUAUUAGUGUCACUUAUGGACCAUGGCUAUACAUUGUUGUAUAAUGUUGAUGUAUAAAACUGUUUUAAUUGAAAGGUGCGUUUGGUUUGCAAAACAGCAAGUACAGUACAAAACAGUACAAGAAAGAACAACACAAUAUAAGGGAGAACAACACAGGACAAAUUUUUAUGACAUUGAAUAAUUUUUUGUUUUAUACGAUUUUUGAGGGACAAAAUGUUAUUUUGAUAUUUUAGACAACUUGUACGUGGGACAAAAAGUUGUGCUGUGGUUUGCUGAGGGACAAAAAUACCAGUUUAUCCUGUCCUUGAAACAGUUUUACAAAUCAAACACUGGACAACUGGAGUUGUUCUGUCUUGUCCUUCAUUUUUUAGCAAAUCAAACGCAUCCAAAAUGCUGAUAUAAUUUGAAACUCUUAGGAGAUAUCAUUCAAAUAGAGUGACAUUGCUAUACUCUGUAUCGCUGCUAUAUGUUUCCAUAUUUACAUUAGAUUUUUCAUUGUUUCUAUAGGAUUUAUAGAAUUAUACAUAUAAAAAAAGUAAUGAAUGGAUGGAUGGAUGGAUAAGAGAUGUAUAACAUUAGUCAAAUAUAUCAUGCAGUCCUUUAAAUUAGAUACUUGUAACAAAUUAAUUUUAUUUUUUAAAGGAACAAAUUAGUCUUUUAUAACCUUUUAAACACAUUUCUUAAAAGAUGAAUGUUAGUAACACACAUUUUAACACAUAUUUUUCAACACACUCUCUUUGAUUGGUUACAAUUCACAUAGGUCCCACCAAAUCAUAUGGGUCCUAUAUAAAUUUGGUGGGUCCCAUGUGAAUUUUAACCAAUUAAAAAGAGUAUGUUGAAAAAUGCGUGUUGCUAGCAUUUCUCUCGUUAAAAAAAGUGACAUGUUCGCUAUUCACACUACAUGAUAGGAAAUGUAUGUUUAGUCCAUCCUACAACACAAACAUGAAAUCCUAUGAUUGGUCGAAAUUUACUGAAACUUUGUCUACAUUCAUCAAGUCGCAUAAAUCCUUUAAAAGACGAGGAACACACAUGUAAUAAAUAAAAGGAAAAUGCUAACAAAUGCUCUUACGCAUCCUAAAACAGUAACUUUUACAUAUGAAAUUGUGAGGUUAUGACUUUUACAUGUGUUUUAAUUUUGGGUUCCUUAAAUAAUAUCCUUAAGACACUUGUUAGCAAGACCCUAAGGAAAUAAAGGAAAAGACAAUGAGAGAUGAAAAAAAAAAAAUUGGAUGUGCAAAAGGAAAUAAAAUAGGAUGCCAUUUUUUUAAGGUUAUAAAAGACUAUCCCAAUACACUAUCAAAAAAUUUACUACACCUCACAUUUUACUAUAUAACUCAUAGAAUUGAAUUGGAGUAAUCCCUCCCUCCCAUACUAACUGAGUCAUUUUUAAUAAAAAAAAAGUGUCUCAAAAUAAUUGAGUCAUUUUAUUUUUUAAUACAAUAUUAAUUAUUUUUUUCUUUUUAUAACUCUAAUUAAUACUACUUUCAUCAUUCCUAAUUCAAUAUAUUCAAUUUUGCAUUUAUGAUAGUAGAGAAUGCACCGGUACUUAACAAAAACAUUAAAACCUUUUUUUCUCUCUCCUUUAUUUAUACACUUUUCUUAACAGGUGUGAAAAUGAGUAAAUGGUUCGGUUAAUCUAAAAUGGAGGGAGUAUAAUUUAUUGAAGUCCAGGGUCACCUAUGUGUAUAUCCGCCCGUGUGGACAUCAACAAAGUAACAAUUGUCUUCCAAUUUCCUUCAAAAAAAAAAAAUUGUCUUCCAAUUAUUCAUGAUAAGUUAAUAAAUGGUUAAUGACGGCUAACUUUCAGUUACCAAAUUCAUACACAAUCCAAAAUUAGGGAAUAAAUAUGUCUUAAAUUAAAGGAAUAUUAAUUGGUGAUGACUGAAAUAUGUAAACAAACCCAAUGGAGAAUCUAGAAAGCAACACAAAAAGGAAAUGAUGAUUACCUAAUUAUCGACGAGCGUGAGCGUUUGAAGAGAAUUUGUGAUCUAUAACCUUCACUUCUAAUUGGAUUCUGAAGUGGAAGGAGUGCCAAAUACCCUUUUGGUUUAUUAAAUUUUGCAUGCGUGGUGACAACUCUAAUCAUGUUUCACACGGUGUCCGUCUACUAUAUUUUACUCCCUCCGUCCUAAAUUGUAUGUCAUUUUAUAAAAAAUAUUUGUCUCAAAUUGUAUGUCACUUUACAAUAUCAAUGAAACAUUAAUGUUACUUUUCUUAUUAUAUCCUUAACUAUUUAUUACUCUUUCUUCUUUCAAUUAUUUUACUUAUUUUUCCCAUAUCAUUUAUUAAGGAUAAUUUUGUAAAACAACUCAUAAUAUUCUUUCCCAUACAAUAUUAAUUACAUUUCUUAAUAUGUGUAAAAUGCCUAAAACGUCGUACAAUUUAGGACGGAGAGAGUAUAACGCAACACUCACUUGUGCACUAUGUAAUUUAUUUCUUUUCAAGCUUAGUUUUAUAGUUUAUUAUUAUCACUACCGCAAAAUGCAAAACACGAAACAUAGGGGUGGAAACAAAAUUACUAUGCAAUUGCUAGAUCGGGAUUCAAGGAAUCAUUUACUGCUCCACUUGAGCUUCUUCAAGUCAUGUGAGUAAUUAUUUGGUAGCUCAAUGAUGGAUCCUUCUUUCAAAUCUACUCCUUUUUUACUAUUGUUGAUAAGUUAGAAAAUAGGUUAGGUCGAACUAUAUGUUGUUGCACGUCUGACUUUUUAUUUGUUAUAGGCUUGUCUUUAAGUCUCAUCUUUUGAAAGUCAAGUAUAGAUUGUACUUGACAAGAUAAACUUUGGAAUUUAUAGUUUAUAAACUCGUAUUAUCAAAAGAUAGCAAUUUACUUGAUCGCUGAAAAAUAAAAAUAAUUAAUUUUAUUUUGAAAAUUCAAAUUAUUCAUUUUUUAUGAUAAUAUUUAAAGACAUUUUACCCUUAAAAAACAAAACAAUUUAAAUCAAAUUUGGCACUCCUUCAAAUUUGGAAUGACAUUUUUCAAAGCCCGAUACAAUUUAAAUCAAAUUUGCCACUCCUUCAAAUUUUAUAUAGAGACAUUUAAUCCUCAUUGGGGACUAUUUUGAAUCAAAUUUGAAAUGACAUUUUUCAUAUUAAUUUAAUUCUCAAAGACCAAAUAGGUUGUUUGUGAUUUUUCACAAGGAUUAAUUUGAAUCUUUAAUUAGUCUUAUGGUAUAAGGAAGUUGUAAAUUUGUUUAACAAUGAUCAGUUAGGAUCUUUAGCCAAAAUAUUAGGUUGGUGAUAUUUCACAAGGAUCAAUUUGGUGACGAUAUACGUGGUAUAGCACUUAUGUUAAAUUUUUGGCAGUUUAGGAUAAAGUGAAAGGGCAUAUAUGUAGCUCCUAUUGCUACAAUAUAUAUUGAGGAGGGAAGGGGAGAGUGUCGCAUGAAUAUGGGGUGUGGAAGGUUGUCCAUAGCAAAGCUAACAUUAAAAGGAAGCAGAAGGAAUCUAGGCCACCCCAAAGGGCAUCUUGAUUCUCAUCUACCCACUACCAUGUUUGCCCCUGCCCUAAUAUACUAAUAUACUUUAUUUCUCAUGAAUAAAAACAUCUAAAAAAAGAAAACAAAUACUACUUUUUCUAUCCAUUGUGAUGCACGACAAGAUAAAGUAAAUGUUUCACACAUGUACAAUUUUAUUACUAUACCAUUACAACUCUUGAAAUGAAAUGAAAUGAACAUAAAGUUAAAUGUGGGUACCGGGAAGCAAGUUGUAAUAAAAAUCGGUGUGUUAACGUAAGUUCAUAUCAAUGCAAGGCGUGCUUAGUUACUAGCUAGCAAACAUGUUGAUAUGAAAUAUUUGUAAAAAAAAAUAAAAAAUACUUAUGAAAAAAUUUAAAGUUAGGAAAAUAUUCAACGCAUUUGUUUGCAAAGUGUGCUUAAUUACUAACAAGCAAACAUCGUUUAAAGUUUAUGGGGUUAAGUAGUUCAUCUGAUUUGAGUUAAGAAAAUAAAGCGUUGAUAAAGUUAAAUGUACAAUAUAAGUUAUGGUAAGGAAGAAAAAAAUACUACAUGACAAUUAACAUAUUAAUCGUUGUCAUUAAAAAAAAGAUCAAAUAUUUGUAAAAGAAAGAGUAUUAUUUAUGAAACAAUUUAAAACUUGGAAAAUACUCAGCACAUUUGUCUCUAAUGGUGCAUUCUUAAUUUAAACACAUAGUCACAGCAACAACACCACCGAAAGGUGCCAACUAAUUAGCAUAUGCCAAUUUUAGUUUUUAUUUUAUUUUUCUAUUUCAUUUUAUUAUGGGAAAGUACUGUGUUUGGUAACACAAAAAAGUUAGUUUAUAGCUAGUUUGUUGAACUAGCUUAUAAGCUUGUUUUGAUAAAAUGAGAUGUGUUUGGUAAAAAGCUUUUCUCACUAGCUUAUAGCGUUUUUUAAGAAGUUAAUCCAAGUAGCUUUUUAACUUAUAGCUUGUAGCUUUUUAUACUUUCUUCCCAUUUUAACCUUUUCUUAAUUUUAUUUUAUUAUAAUAAAAAAAAACUACCCACUAUCUUCUUAAACUAACUACGUUUACCAUGUAUGGCUUUUUAAAUUUUCUUGUCCAUUUUUUUGUUUUUUUUUUACUUUGCUCAUAAUUCAUAUAAUAUCUAAUUUUAUAUAAAUUUAUAAUAGUGAAGCAAGUUUAGUUAAAUAAAAUUCAUAAAAAUAAAAUAAAAAUUGUUAAAUAAAAAAAUUCGAUUGAAUUCAUAAAUACAUUUAUUAUUUUGGAGAUGAAAAUAAUUUGAAAUAUAUUUAAAUAUUUAAAAAUAAAUGUGUUAAGUAAUAAAAAUUAUAUAUAUGAUAUUAAAAAAAAUUAAACAAGCAUGUCCUUUUAUGUCAUUUUAUAUUUAUAGUCACUUCAACAACUAAUUUUAUCAAACACUUUUAAUUUUAAUCAGCUAACUUUUCAGCUAUAAGCUAUCAGCUAUUAGCCAUCAGCUAUCAACUAGCUUAUAGCUUUUUUUUUACCAAACACACCCUUAGUCUUUAACAUGGUUUGUAACUCCUGAUUUUCGCAAAUUAUCAAAUUUUACUUGAAAUUGUAAAAUAACACUCAACAUUGUCCCUUCAUAAAUUUCUACCUUGUGACAUAUCAAUUAAACAUGUCAUGUUGUAAGAAAGUAAAUUGUUUAUUAUAGAUUAACUUAUAAAAUUUAGGUUAUCUCACCGAUAAAAUUAUUGUUAAGAGUUCCACGUUAGAUAAGUGAUGAAAUGACAAUGUGUUUAUAAGUGGGGGCAAUCAUCAUCUCACAAGCCAAUUUUGUGGGGUUGUGUUAGGCCCAAUCACAAUUUCUAAGAUGGUAUCAGAGCCUCUCCAUGAUCCAUUGGGUCACCUGUUAUCAGGUUUCUGCUAUCGGGUCACCUAUCAUUUAUGUCCAUGAACCAAGCCCAAUAUUGCUGGUCGUGAGUGGGUGUGUUAAGAGUCCCACAUCGGAUAUGUGAUGGUUUGACAAUGUGUUUAUAAGUGGGGGCAAUCAUCACCUUACAAGUCGGUUUUGUGGGAUUGUGUUAGGCCCAAAACAAGAUUAUUUUGACUAACAAUUUACAAUUACAUAAUGACUGAUAUAUUUGCCGGUUCACAAAAAUUACGUACAAAUUUGGCCAAAACUUAAGUUUGAAGACUAAUUAUUUGCGUACUGUUCUAAUUGCAACCAGGGCCGUCCCCGGGAAGGUGCAAACAGCUCUAUAGAACUGGGCCUCUCCAAUUUUGGGGCCCAAGUUUUUUUUUUAAUAUAUAAUGCAUAAACAAUAUUAAUAUAUACUUGUAGCAUUGUGAAUUUAUCAUUAGGGAAGUUGUGGCCUAGUGGUAAAACAUGUGAGUGUUGUGUUUGUUGACGUUGGUUCAAUUCCUAGUGAUGACAAUUGUUCACAUUUUAUUAUUUUUCUGCAUUACAUUAGUUUUUUUCUCUCUAUUUUACAAAAAAAAAAAAAAAAAUUAGGGGCCAAAUUUUUUAAGAGUUUCGGGCCUCUGAUUUUACAGGGACGGCCCUGAUUGCAACUACUAACUUUCUCGGAAUGCAGACACAGAAAGUUUAAGCUAGAACGUGACUGAUCAACAAUUGUGAAUCUAUUGCGGAGCAAGUAUGUGGAUUCUCUAAUCCUUUUCCACGUUCAGCAAAUUUUUAUUUAACUUUUUAGACAAAUAAGAAAAGAGAGGUUCCAAUUGUGUAGCUUGUGAUUGUGCAUGUCAUUUGCAAUCCUUUAUGGAAGAUAGAUAGCGAUUAAAGUGUGUUUAAGUUGAUAUUGUACCGAAUGCCUUAUUUAAUAAAAUUACUAUUUUCAAAAUAAAAGAAAUAAAGUGGUGGUUUUAGACUCUAAUUGGUUUAUAAUUAGGUUUAGAUUAAGUAUAGUGGACUGAUUACUUUUUCCCUAUGAUUUGUAAUACAAUUAUAUUAGUGCAAUUGAAGCAUACAUUAUUACAAGUCAUGAGUUUACAUGUUAUAUUAAAACACGCCUAAUGAAGAGGUGUAAUAUUUCCCUCAUUUGCUGAAUUAAGAUCCACUCCUGUAUCGAUUAAAUACUUCACAAAAUCAAUAUGUCCAUUUGUUGUAGCCAUAUGAAGAGUCGUUCUUCCUUGAGCAUUGUUGAAAUUAGGAGUGGGAAUAGGCCAGGCCGCUCGUCAGGGGCCUAUGGUUUGGCCUACUAAAAGCCCGGUCCGGCCUAGCUCGUUUAAUAAAUGAGUCAAGCUUGAGCUUUUUAAAAAGCCUAUUAAUUUAAUUAGGUCGGGUUUAAGCUUAUAAAAAAAUAAUUUUGAAUUUUACUGGCAUAAUUAAACCCUCAAUAAUGCAAAAAAUCCCUCAAUACUACGCAUUACUGACAGAUUGGUGUCCCUCAGUAAUAUUGGCGUAGUAAUGUUACUGGCAGAAUUUUGCCUCAAUAAUGGAGAGGUAAUACUAACAAAGCAUUACUGAGUGAUUAUUCCUUCAGUAAUUAUUACUGACGGAUUUAUCAGCCAGUAAUGUUUUUGCAUAUCUGUAUUAGUGACAGAAUACUCCACCAGUAAUGCACUUUCUACCCUUUUUAGUUAGUGUAGUUUGGUGUGCAAACUUAUUGAAGUCUAAGUAUUUGCUCUUCCUCUAAAAGAGCUCAAAUUAAUUCAAAUUGUUUGUAAAAUGUUUAUCUGGUCUAGUAGAUCUGAUGAUUCCAAAAGAGCUCGUGUUGUUUGGGAGUAUAUUCAUUUACAUAAGACAGGUGAUGGGUGGAAUGUCAUUGAUUUGAAAUACUUGAACCAAGUUGCUCUGAGUAAACAAUUCUAGAACUUGGCUAACAAGAAGGAUAUUUUUGGUUUAAAUGCAUUCAUGAAUACUACAUAAAAGGGAGAAAUAUGUUGUCUAUCGAAGUUCCUCCACAAGCUUCAUGAAUAGUAAAAAAUGUCUUUGAUGCAACUAAGAAUUUUGCCAGUGCCUAUGAUAAUGUUCUUCAAACAACCAAACUUUUCUAUUAAGAAAAUAAAUAAUAUCUGAAGAGUUGAGUUUGCAAAAGUUAAUUGGAGGAAAAUGAUUUGCAACAACCAUGUCCCUCCAAAAUGUUUGUUUGUUAAUUGGUUCGCUAUUCAUGCAAGAUUGCAAACUUGUGACAGGUUGAAUAUAGUUGGUAUAUAAUGAGACCAAUUGUAUGUUUUGGGUAAAAAGGAGAAUGAAACUCAUUCUUACCUUUUCUUCAAGUGUGAGUAUUCUGAUGUUGUUUGGACAUGUAUCAUGCAAUAGAGUAACAUAAGCAUUAAUACUAGCAAUUGGCAGUUAGUGAUGUAAUGUCUCCUGAGACAAUACAACAAGAACAUGUGUAUUCAUCAAUUAAGUAGAAUGGUUGUGAGUGUGAAUCAAUAUUGAUAUGGAAUGAGAGAAAUAAUAUAAGGUCUUAGAACUUGCACCAGUCAGUACAUGAGCUCUUUAGCCAAAUAAAAAUGAUUGUCUACAUAUUAGAGGGUUUCAAUAUAAGAAUUUAAAGAACCUAGCGUUAGAGGGUUGCAUAGUUACAUUAGGUGUAGUAUUUAAGCAUAUGUGUUUAUUGAAUUUACUAUUAUUGAUGUUCAUUAUUUUAUGUGUGUUUAAAUGUAGUACAUUAUACAUUUAGUCUUGUAGUAUAUGCAAGAGUAACUUCGAUAAAAGUUUAAGGGUCAGUUUGUUUCCCAUGAAAGUAUAAGGAAAGAUUAAGUAAGGAUGGAAAGUAGUAGGAUUUAUAAUCCUUCUAUCGUUUGGAGUAACCUUAAAAAGGGGAGAAUGGAUUCUGACAGUUGGGUCCCACAACCAAAUUGUCUCCUGAUAAGUGCUAGGAAGUAUUAUUUUAAAUGUUUAUUUACUACACGUUUGUUACUUGUUUCACAAGUUAUCUAGGGAAAAGCCGAGAAAAAAGUGAAUUUUGACCUAUUACGUUGUAGUCAUCUUACUCUACCCAUUUGUGCAGGAAUUGAGUGCCAAAACAUCAAGCAAGAGCCAAAAACAACAAAAAGGAGAAAAGGUCAGCUCGCCAUGGCGAGCCAAAGGCGACCCAAAUGACGAGCAACUCCAGAGAGUUCCAGGCUCCUUCACCACAGAGAUGGCCAUGGCGAACAGUUCCAUAAAGUUGGAAAAUCAGGACAAGAGCAUUUCGCCAUGGCGAGACAAAGUCCUGCCAGGCGAAAUAAGGCGGUUUCAUUUGAUCCUUGUGACGUGGCAGAAACCCACUGGCAAAGAAAGCUCAAGUCGCCAGGCGAGACAAACUUCGCCAGGCGAAAUGUUACUUUUUCAGCAUAUGUAUAAAAGCUCAUUUCCCUCAUUUCAGACAAUAUCAUAUAGGGUUGGGAAUAGGCCAGGCCGGCCUACAGGGGCCUACGGCCUGGCCUGGCCUGGACUGUUUAGUAGAUAGGCCUAGGCCUAGGCUUUUUAGAAAGCCUGUUUAGUUAAAUAGGCCAAGUUUAGGCUUCAAAAAAAGACUGUUAAGCCUAAUAGGCCGGCCUAUUAAUACUUAUUUAUUAAAAAAUAAUUUUUUAUAUUAAAAUAAUUGCAUAUAUUAAAAAUAUAAACAUCUUUUUCUCUAUCUAUUAGUCCCUUAAUAGGCUUUGUUGUUAUAGGCUUUUAUGUAGGCUUUAAUCUAGUUGAAAUUUACUUGUAGUGAAAUAGGCUUUUAAGUAGGCUUUAAGACAUGUUUAACCUAUUUAGUAGGCCAAAUGAACUAUUUGAUGGCCUUAAUGUGAAGUAGGCCUGUAAGUAGGCUUUCAGGCCAGUCCAGGCUUUUAAAUAGGUCAGGCCAGGCCUAGAAAAACGGCCUAUGAUAGGCCAUAGGCCAGGCUCAGGCUUGUGAUUUAUUUCGAAGGCCAGGCUCAGGCCUAUCAAAACCUGGCCUGGUUUGGCCUAUUCCCACCCCUACAUAUAAAAUUUUAGAGAGAGAAUAGGGCAAAAAUACCCUGUUUACAUUGGGCAAUAAUGAUUGAGUGUGGAUUCAUCAAGAUUCUUGGAGAAAUCAAGUUCCUUUCAUGGAUUCUCAACUUUCCUUCCACUUUUGUAAAGUUCUCAUGACAAUGAUGAACUAAAUCUCCUUAGUUGAGAUUAGAGGUACUUGAUUGAGCUUAGAAUGUAAUCUUUUAAUCUUAUAAUAUAUGAUUCUAGCAAUUUACAUGAUAUUGAAGUUAUUCUUGCAAUUCAUUUCCAUCUUUGAUUUAAUUGUUAUUGAAAAGUACUUUUGAAUCUAGGUUUAGAAUAAUUCAUCUAUCAAAACAAUAAUUCUAGACAUAGGAUUGAUGUUUUGAUAAUCACACAAGGUAUCGGUACAUAAAGCUUUCGGAUCGUUGAAUAGAUUGAGAAAUCGUCAAUUAAACGAUACGAUCGACAAUUGGAUUGUUUAAUAGUUUGGGAAAUCAACUAUUGAACAAUACAAUUGAUCUCAGGACACUAAUAAUCUUGUUGAGCGAUACGUGAUAAUAUCGGUAAAACGCUAGAAUCCAUAUAUGUGAUUAUCAGGUUAUGUUUGACGCUUAAUCAAGGAACUCUAAUUCCAAUGUUUUUACGCCUUAUUACUCUCAACUUUUACUCUUGCAACUUAGUUUCUAAAACGAACAACAAAUUAUCUUUCAAACUUAGAAUGAUAUUUGGUGUCGAACGGUCGGUGAUAUCGCACUAGUCCCUGAGGAGACGAUAUAAAUACUUACUAUUGUUUGAUGCAAAAAUACUACAUUAUUUUCGCGCUGUGAUGGACGGAAAGAACGAAGAAACCACUAUUUUAACUGAAAUUACAUAAAUGCCCUCAAUCUCUUAUACGUCAAAGUUGAAAAGCAAUAUGCUCCAUAUUUUAUUUUUUUGGCUCUCUAAUGCAAAUCCAUGAUUAUAAAAAAAAAAAAAAAAAAAAAUCGCAAAUGCAUUUCAACGUAGACAUUGAACUAUAUUAGAAUAGAAAAAAUGGAAAUAAAAUUCUUACAUUUAAUUGCAUUUGUAUAUUAAAAAAAAGUGUGGUUUAUUGAAUUAAUAUAUAUAUCAUUUUUAUGUAAGGACAAUAAUGUCAAUUAACUACACAUAAUUUUUUCUUUCCAUUCACUUUCACUCAUACCAAACACACAAAUAAUCAUUUCACUUUCUUCUUACUUUCUUUCCUUUAACAAUCUUUCCUCUCACUUUCUUUUGUGAUCCAAACAAAGCCUAAGGGUGCGUUUGAUUUGUAAAAGGUAGGAUACUGGACAUAACAGUACUGAACAAGUGACUGAGUCAUAGGACAACUUUUUAUAUUACUGUAAUACCCUUUGUGAUGUACAAUUUGAUUUUUCACUGUGUAAAAACACAACAAAAUUUUAAAACUAUUUUAUUUAUUUUUCUAAUAGUAUAAAAAUUAAAUUUGAUAAAGAUGUUUAUUUAUAUAUAUAUUGUCAACUACAUGGUAUUUUUUUUAAGGAAUCAACUACAUCGUAUUAUAUAAUAGCUUUUAGCAAAAAAAAGUGUGACAUCAUAAUAAUCAUCAUAUAUAACACACACGCAGAGCAGAGAAGAAAAAACAAAAACAAAAUAGAAAAAAAAUUGAAAAAUGACUAAUUGAAUGAAGAAUUACCUAAAGACGAGAGUUUUGAGGUUUCAAGAAAUAGAAGCAAUGAAGGGAUAAAUUAGUCUUUUUUGUAUAAGUGAACAAGGGACAAUACUUUGUCCACUGGUUUGGCGCGGUACAAAAUAAUAGGUAGUUGUCCAGUGCAUCACUUCUUAUUUUGUGCUGUCCUUUAUACCUUUUUCAAAUCAAACGCUAGACAAAUAUUGUUGUCCUGUCCCGUGCAUCAUUUUUUUACAAAUCAAACGUACUCUAAGAGUGUGUUUGAUGUAGAAGAGAAGUUGUGAAGAGAGAAAUAGGUAAGAGAGAGAAUGAAAAGAGAGAAAAAGAUGAGAAAUAUAGUAGAUUUGUUGUAUUUGUUUGGUAGAAGAGAGAUAUAAAAGAAAUAGAGAAGAAAGAAGUGUUGAUUAUUUUUAAAAGUACCAAAAUACCCCUAAUUAAUAAACAUUCAAUGAAAACUUAAUUUAUUAAAUAACUUAAUUCAAUUUUUAAUAUAAAUUAUUGAUGACAAUGAUGAUGAUUUUUUUGACAAACGAUGAAGAUUAUUAUUAAAAAUUAAUUAUUUCAUCAAUUUGUAACUUCAUUCAAAUGGAAAAUACUUGGGUGACAUGGAGUUGGGUGAUAUUGGCCAAUCACAAUGUCACAAUGCUUGUGAAAGAGAGAAACACAAGCAUUGUGACAUUAUGAUUGGCCAAUAUCACCCAACUCUAUGUCACCCAAUCGCUACACUAUUCAAAUAAAUUAGAACUCACUAUUUUAUUCUUAUUGAAAAUCAUCCGUUUAAUAACAAAAAUGGAAAAGAGUGAAGGAAUAAAUAAAUUUAAAAAACAGCAUAAUUAUCCUUUGGCCUUCUCCUCCAUAUACGGCAUUCAUAGCCUUAUAACUUCCAGCAGGGUAACUUCUCCUUCAUAUAUGCAGCUUAAUUUCAUGUGUGUGAGAGAGUUUUUCUAUUUUGCUUCCUCAUCCUUCAUCUACCACCGGCAAAUCAUACCUUCAACUUGUCUCCUAAAACUUCCCUUUGUUUUAUGCUUCAUAUUGAAUAAUCAUUGUUGCAAUUUGCAGAAAGAUAAUAAAUCAUAAAUAAAAUUUCAAUAAAGGGUAAAAAUGGAACAACAAAAUUAAGCCAUCCCUCUCUCCCGUCUCUUCGCUGUUCAGGCGGAGAAAACAAAAAGCAGUGGGUCCCACAAAUUUUUAGUCUCUCUUCUCUCUUUCUCUGCAUUCCAAAUAGGAGAAAGUGACCAACUCUUUUCUAUUUCUCUCUUCUCUAUCUCUCUUUCUUAUUUCUCUUCAACCAAACAGAAUGUAAGAGUUUCUGUUCACACUAUUACUUUUCUAUUGACUUGGGUAAAGUGAAAUUCCAAGUCAAGCCUUUUUGUUUUUUCAUAGAACUGUAUAUAUGAAAAUGCCAACAAACUUUUUUGGAGCACCAGUCCGAAAAAAUAAAUAUACUAAAGAUAUAUUAAAACGUGUCUAAUCAAACUUUUAAGAAAGUAAAAAAUAUUUUUUCAAUGCAAGUUUUAUUUUAUUUUUUGGAUCAUGCUGAGAAAUGUCUAAAACAUUGUUUAAAGAAUUUAUUUCUUAUUAUAAAAAUAAAUAUAAAUCAAACAUAUAUAAAAAUAAUAAUUACACAAUUUUUUUCACAAAAAUUAAACUGAAUCAAGGGUAUUUGAUUAAAGUAAAGAAUGUUACUAGAGACUCAGACUAGUUAGCAUGAUGACCCUUUCUUUCAAAAAAGCAUGAUGACUAUAUAUAAGAAUGAAAAGCAGGAUGAUAUAGUUGAUGCGUAAUGAUGCGACGUCAGCACAUAGGUGCAAUGACGAAACAGAUUUAUAUUCCAUUACCUAAUCGCGUCAUUCAAUUUUGUUUUUUCCUCUCGUCCACUGCUUUAGAAUUCGAAUCGAAUUACUAGUUCAGUUUAGUGUUUUGUGUGACUAACUUCACAACAAGAUUAACAUAGAUAUAAGUAUAAUAUUUUGCUCAAAAAUUACCUAUUGAAUUUUUAUUUUUUUUGACACACACGAGACAUCUAAUUACCAAAUUAUAUUUAUACUUUAUAAAGUGUAGUUAGACCUCUUAAGACAAUACCACAAAACCGACUUAUAAAGUGAAGAUUGUCUUUCCUAAAAUUCUUUAACUUAUGCAACCAAACUCCCUUGAAAUUUAAUGUUUUUUUUCGAUCAAAACAUAAAUUAAAUGAUAAUUUAUUGUAUAUUUUAAUUACGCUAAUAAAGGUAUGUAACUCCUUUUUUUUUUUUUAAGGGAAAAGGUGUGUAACUCUACCUCUAAUAUAUUGUAAUGAUAAGCCGCACAAUUUUAUAUAUAUUUUUGAGUUAUUAUAGUAUGUUAUAUGUAUGAAAUUUCUACCGCACUUACCAACUCUGUUGGAGAAUCUGUUGAGCAUGUUAGGUCAGUUCUAUCUGCUUAACCGAAUUUUUACACUCAUAUUUUUAUGCAUUUCUUUUAUUUUUAGUACACGUUUCAUCUAAUUUUUCUCUUUUAACUAUCUUCACAUUUCUGUUUGUAUAUAAUAGUGUCAGUGUAACUACGGCUCUGAUUGGGAAACCCCAAAAAAAGCUUUUAGCUUUUAACUUAUAGUUUAUAAGCUCGUUUGACAAAAAAAGCUCUGUUUGGUAACACUUUUUCACCAUGAGCUUAUAGCUUAUUUCACGAACUUAUAAGCUAUUUUUCAGAAGCUAUUUCAAGUAGCGUUUGAGCUUAUAGCUUAUAGCUUCUCACUUUUUCUUCCAAUUUUACCUUAUUAUUUCAUUUAAAUUGUAUUUUUAUCCAUUAUAAUUUUUAUAAUAAGUUACGUAAUAAAGACUACUAUCCCUUUAUUCCAAUUUUUGUAUAUAUAGCAGCUGGCCUUUUUUUUUUUUUUUUGAAAAAAUAUAUACCUUCGUUUUUUUUUUUUACGAAACAAAAUACUAUUACUCUAUUAGUGCUACCUUUUUUUUUGUUUUUGAGGUAAAUGUUAUUUUCUUUAUAAAGUGGAAACACUUAACUGAUAAUAAAUAUAAGAUAAAAUUUUAGUGAAUAAAAUUUAAUUUAAUUUAUAAUACAUAGGAUAUAUUAAAUUAAUAAAUUUAAAGUAUUUUUUGAAAGAAAAAUUAGUUUACAAAAUUACAAAUACGUAAAUUAAUGAUAUAAUUUUUAUUAUGAAUUAAGAAUACCUUUUAUGUCAUUUUACAUUUAUCAGCUAGUUGAACCGCUAUUUUUACCAAACACUUCAGUUAGCUUAUCAGCUAAAAGCUAUCAGCUAACUUAUCAGUUAUCCGCUAUUUUUACCAAAGAGAGCCUAAAAAAAUAGUGUCUGCAAUAAUUAGCGUUUUAGACUAUUCAAUCAUUAUACCUUUUUGUUUUUCUUAACGUGCCUCUCUAUUUCAAAGAAGCUAGGCAUAAAAAAAUGUACGUGUUUGCAAGACUUACAUAUUGACUUGUUGUCCGAUCCAACAAAAGUAUUUGUGUGGCAUAUUGGUCAUUUAGUUAGAUUCCUUUAACUUAAUUAAUUAAUGACAAUGGCCAAAACUUGUCAUGAUGAAACGCCAUGAAUUAUGUCCUUAUAUUCAUCACAAAGUUUAGAAACAACGAAGAAGCAACCAAGAAACUACGUGCUCUUGGUAUCUUCCUUCACACUUCCCUUUAUCAUUUUUAUUUUAUUUUCAAAUAUAUACAUUUUUUUUGUGAACAUGGAGAUCAAUGGCAGCAAGAAGAGGAAAAUUUGCAACGAAGAAUUAGAUGAAGAAAAACAAAAAGAAGAGGAAGAGAAAAUAGAGACGUUUUUUGCUCUAGUGAGAAACAUGCGUGAGACACGUGACCGUUGGAGGAACAAAAUGAGUGAAAAUAUUAAGGAAGAAAAUAGAGUUGUUGGUGUUUGGAAGCCUACGUUUAAACUUGAAGAUUUCGCUGAAGAGGGUGCAUCUAAGAGCAAUAAUAUUAACUGUGCUAAUAUUAUUAAGGAAGAUGACACAGAAAAAGGUAUUAACUUGAAGCUCUCACUUUGAAAUUGUUGCUACAUGCAUCAAGAUAUCGUAGCUUGAUCUUAUGUUGUGUGUUGUAAAUUUGUAAUGGAUCAUUUUCAUGAUUUCUUUCCCUAACUUAUUAGUUGCCAAUAUGAGCAACAAGUAGAUUUAUAGUUUAAUUUAAUCAUAUGAUUUAUAUGUGUGCACUGUGCAGUAUGCUAUUGUAGUACUUUAGCAUCGCAUCCUAUAUAAUUUUCUUCAACUAAUUAACAGUUGUUUAUGCUCUUAGUUCAAAAAAUACUCCUUCAAAAUUCAUAGUUAACGAAGCUAGAGUUGUCACUCCGUCGCAUAUUGAAGUUAUUUAAACAAUUUCAUAUAGAUCAAUACAAGUAGUUAAAUUUGUAUGGUGAAGAGAAAUUAUGAGUAACUUUAUAGAAUUAUCAUUUAUAGUUGGCAUGAAAAAUAAAAAUUAAAGAAUUGAAAAGAAAAAAAGAAACUUUUGAAUUGAUAAUCUGGUAUUUCGUGUGAUAAACUGUGGAGACUAAAUUUUCAAGUUGAUAAGACCACAAUAAAUUACAAAUUCCUCAAAAUAAUUAACACUUUUUUAAUGACAUAUAUAUAAAAGAAAAAGAGAACAAAUGUUCAACACCAACAAUAAAAAGGAACCAAAAAGAUAAAAAAAAAAAAAAAAAAACCUAGCAUCACCAAUAUCAAACAAAAAUACAACACCCUAGAAAAAUACGAAAAGAUAAACACCAACCACAAAGCAACUUAAGAGGGAAAGAACGCCCCUACAAGGCUACAACAAACACCAAGAACCCAACACAAAAGGACAAUGAAUGAAGAAAUUUAACACUAUUGUAUUUUCAGAGCUGAAUUUAACUCAUGACCUCUAGUUAAGUUGGAAGCUUUUACUAUCUCAUCCAAAUAUUUUUGGAAGAAGAUAAACAUUAAGAUUGUAUGAUAUUGUAAAACGACCUAUAAAAUACAACAAUUUGUUUGUUAAAAUGUCAUAUGGUCUGGGAUAGAUGGAGUAAUUACUAUUGGCUUGAUAAACUUUACUGAUAUUAUUAAUCAACAAAUGUUCAAUACAAAUCGGAGAAAUCUAAAAAAUAUGGUGACUAGCAUAAGAAUAUGUCGUCUUAGCUAAGGUAUGAGUAAUCAUAUUCAUUUUUCGCCUAAUAAACUUCACCUUGAAGUUGGAAUGUAAAGCUACCUUAUAAAUAAUAUUAGAAACAAUAACAAAAAAUUCAGAAGUUCCAUGAUGCUUGUCUUUUAGAGAUGCCACCAACGUAAAUCACACACGUUCACAAUCAUGCCAUUUAGUACAAGUGAAGCGAAUUGUUUCAAGAAGAGUUGAAGCCUCGCCUUCAAACACCAACAUAUGACCAUGUCCCUGUUGCGUCUGAGCCGUCAUGGAUCGACCAUCCAAAUCACAAACACAGCAUCCAAAAAAAAGUGGACUUGUAUGCCGGUUGGAAAGCUACAUCCACAUUGCACUUAAAUCCACAUGCUGGUAUUUCCCAUGCUACGUUGCGCUGCUCGCUAGUUAACCCUCCCAUUGAGUGGAAUGUUGGUCUGAACCCUCACAUCAUUUCAUUCCACUGCUUCCACCCAUCUAACGCUUUACGCCCCACAGAUACAGUUUGUUGACGAAUAUCGUUACACACUGCAUCAUUUCUUGCUGCCCAUAACUUCCAAAGAAGCAUUAUGUAGCAUUAGACAAAGGAAAGAGGAAUGCAAUUUGCAAAACAAUAGUCGCGCAUAUGACAAUCAAUGUAGUUGUGCAAAAUUAAGUUCUUUGGCGUUUGAAGAAGAGUUUUCCAUGUCACACUUAUCUACUAUUUGAAGUGCUUUUUACCCAAACUUGCGUUAACCUUGAAGCUAGUAAUGUAGCUUAUGCGUCAUAAUGAAUUGAUUUUAGAUUUAUUGAUGGCUUAUACUUUUUUAUCGUUCUCUUUGAUACCACUACGAUUUACAAAAAAGUUUGUGAUUCUUUGGAAGAAAAUACUCCCUCCGUCCCAAACUGUAUGAUGUUUUAGACAUUUCACUUGUAUUAAGAAAUGUAAUUAAUAUUGUGUGGGAAAUAGAUAUUAUGAGUUGUUUUACAAAAUUAUCCUCAAUAAACGAUAUGAGAAAGAUAAAUAAAGGAAUUGAAAAAAGAAAGAGUAAUAAAUAGUUAAGAAUAUAAUAGGAAAAAUAACAUUAAUAUUUCAUUGGUAUUGUAAAGUGACAUACAAUUUAGGACAAUUUUUUUUUCUCUCUAAAAUGACAUACAAUUUGGGAUGGAGGGAGUAAUACGUUAAUGUUUGUAUUUAUGGUCUUUUAUUUUUUAAAAAUGUUAAUCGGUGUCCAAGAGGUAUUAGUUAAUGAAUUAAGAAGAAGAGUGUUCCUAGCAAGAGAGUGUUCAUAGUAUUUCUCAUGAAUUAAAUAUACUUCCUUCAUCCCUAUAUGUUAAUCAGUGCACCGAUGAAAAGUCAAAUUUUGUAUUGAAAAAAACACUUUUUUAACUUUUUAAAAGUAUAAUUUACAAUUUCCGAGACAAUAUUUCCUUUUAUAAUCCCUUAAUCAGUGUCUCGGUUAACAUUUCCCUUACUUUUUUCACAUUUCUUAAGAAAAGUUGUUAGUGUAAUUAAUGUGUCUAUUUUGUGUGUUAAUAUUAUCAAAUUGUCAUUUGUUUGUAUGUGUAUUAAAUUUGUCUUUGCAUAUUUCAAAACAAGUAAUUUAAUGGCGUAUUGUAUUGUUUAAUGGCGCAUAUUAUUUAAUCCGUUUAAAUUUUUAAUGUGUAUUAAUUUUACUUGUGAUAUACUCCAUCCGUUUUUAAAAUCCGUUUCUACGACAAUUGUAUUGUUUGUAACUUGUGAUAUAUUAUUAUCUCACAAGUAAUUUGUAUGUAGGGAUGUUAUUGUCGUUUGCAAAAUAAUAUUAAUUUUUUCUUCUAUCAUUCUAUCUGUUUCUCUUCUCUUUUUCGUACUAAACCACCUCCCAAAUUUACUCUAUUUUUCUUUAGAAAAUGCUAACCAUUGCUCUUGGGGCAUUGGAUAAAGGAACAUCAAUAAAAAUUUUGUGUUGGAAAAUAAUAAAAAAUUGUCAAGUUAAUUUGUAAAAAAUUUAUAAAUUGUUGUUUCCAAUGUAAAACUAAUAAUUUUGGUUACACGUCAAUGGUUAGCAAGACCCUUUCUCUUUUAUAUCUCUCUUCUUAUUAUUUCUCACAUUUUUCUCUCUUCUUAAUUUCUCUUCACAACCAAACAAAGCCUUAACAAUGUGAUCAUAAUCCUCGUCUAAACAAAAAAAAUAAAAUCAUCCACCUAACCCUUUAAAAGAUAUUCACAUACUCCCUCCGACCUACAUACCAAUGCAUAUUUUUUUAUCUUGAAUAUCUUUAAUUAUCUAUUUGAAAAAAUUAUGAAAAAUUAAUAUUUUAAAAAUAUUAAUCGAGACAAAUUCAAUAUAUUAUAUGAUAUUAUUUAUCUUUAUAUAUUAAUAAAAAAAAUAUGGUCAAAGUAUAAUCAAAUCAACAGUAUACAUCAUCAAACAUAUCAUCUAAUAUGAGACGGAGUAAGUAUUUUUUAGAGGGAAAAAAAAUUCUAAAUCAAUGGCUUUUAAAUCUACCAUAGACAUUUGUUAGUAUGACUUCUAAAAAAAUAAAAAAAAUAUUUUAAUCGUGUAGUCUGCACUCUGGACAGGUUGGAAUUGGGCAUUAUUGAUUGGAGUCAAAAUGAUGACGAACAUUAUAACCAGUCUCACGCAUCCAAGUGUAGCUCAACCUAGUUACGUCAUUACUGUAACGUCACUACUCACCAAUAGCUUGACACCGUCUUCAUUCAUGUACGCGCUCACCUCACUCGUCUUUCUAUAUAUAAUAAUAUAAUCACACUACAGACCUUAAUAAACACGACACGGCAUUACGCAACGUCAAUACCUAACACAGACAUUGAUCAAGCACUAUUUUUUUCUUUUUCAUAUAUGGAAAAAAAGAAGAAUGAAGUAAGGAAUGACCUCAACGACAAGCAGGAAGAAGAAGAAGAAGAGAUGGAAAUAGAGAAGUUUUGCUCGCUGCUAAGAAGCUUCCGUGACGCCCGUGAUCGAUUGCGCCGGAGGGAAUCAGAAUUACAUGAUCAGCUGGAAAAAUACGAGAGCAACAAGAAAAAGAUGAAAACAGAGCCGCCUUGUUUUCAAUUGCAGGACUUUACUACAGAUAUUCAAUUCAGAAAACUACCUUUGAAUUUUCUCAACCCAGUUGCAAAUUACACAAUCGUAGAUAAUAACAAAGUUGAGAAGAAGGAACAUACCCUUGACCUCAAACUUGCUCUUUAAUCUUGCAUUCAUCAUUCAUGAUCGUCUUGUUUUAAUUAAUUACGUUAUUUAUGCUUUUUCUGUCUACCUAGCUAUUCCUUGUACAUAUAAUAUAAUAUAAUAUUCAUGUAUUGAAGAAAUCAUAUAUAUCUUCAUCUAUCAUCUAUGUUAUGUAAUUUCUUAAUUUGUAAGUUUUUUUUUUUUCAAGUAUAUGGUACGAAUGUGAAAUUAAGAGAUUUUCAAACACAGAAAUUAAGAAUAUCGUCAGAUUGAAGCAAGAGGGGCAGAGCCGAAGGAUUCAGAGUCAAACAAUGGAAAACUGAGUUGUAGUUGGUUAGUUACUUGUGACAUAGGCGAAUCUGUAUGGACCUUUGUCAUAUUUAUUACGACAAACCUAUGAAACCCGGAUAUAAGUACAGAUGCGAGUACGAUACGGAUAUGCCAAUAGGCAAAUUUUUUUAAAUUUAGGAUACGUUAACAAAAAUUCUAUAAUAAAACUUAAAUAUAUGUAAAAUACUUGAAGAAAAUAAACAUUGAUUACUCUUCAUAAUUAUCUUAUUAUAAAUGUCACAAUUUUAAAAAAUAAUAAAU
This 25171-nucleotide long non-coding RNA is filed under the name Medicago truncatula (barrel medic). RNAcentral's name for it is "long non-coding RNA (MTRU_LNC006542)". The record is from RNAcentral. Lineage: Eukaryota; Viridiplantae; Streptophyta; Magnoliopsida; Fabales; Fabaceae.